RNAcentral lists this ribosomal RNA (497 nucleotides) under uncultured bacterium. RNAcentral describes it as "partial 16S ribosomal RNA". It matches the Rfam family "Bacterial small subunit ribosomal RNA", at positions 28 to 507 of the family's 1533-position model. The record is from RNAcentral.
GAUGAACGCUGGCGGCGUGCCUAAUACAUGCAAGUCGAGCGAACAGACGAGGAGCUUGCUCCUUCGACGUUAGCGGCGGACGGGUGAGUAACACGUAGGUAACCUACCUAUAAGACUGGGAUAACUUCGGGAAACCGGAGCUAAUACCGGAUAAUAUUUCGAACCGCAUGGUUCGAUAGUGAAAGAUGGCUUUGCUAUCACUUAUAGAUGGACCUGCGCCGUAUUAGCUAGUUGGUAAGGUAACGGCUUACCAAGGCAACGAUACGUAGCCGACCUGAGAGGGUGAUCGGCCACACUGGAACUGAGACACGGUCCAGGCUCCUACGGGAGGCAGCAGUAGGGAAUCUUCCGCAAUGGGCGAAAGCCUGACGGAGCAACGCCGCGUGAGUGAUGAAGGUCUUCGGAUCGUAAAACUCUGUUAUUAGGGAAGAACAAACGUGUAAGUAACUGUGCACGUCUUGACGGUACCUAAUCAGAAAGCCACGGCUAACUACGUG